Molecule: ribosomal RNA, 1316 nt
Filed under: Megasphaera stantonii
Lineage: Bacteria; Bacillati; Bacillota; Negativicutes; Veillonellales; Veillonellaceae
Description: bacterial SSU rRNA
Rfam family: Bacterial small subunit ribosomal RNA
Source: RNAcentral
AGAGUUUGAUCCUGGCUCAGGACGAACGCUGGCGGCGUGCUUAACACAUGCAAGUCGAACGGGAGGACAUGGGAAGCUUGCUUCUUAUGGACUCUAGUGGCAAACGGGUGAGUAACGCGUAAGCAACCUGCCCUCCGGAUGGGGACAACAGCUGGAAACGGCUGCUAAUACCGAAUACGUUUUCAUUGCCGCAUGGCAGUGGGAAGAAAGGUGGCCUCUGAAUAUGCUACCGCCGGGGGAGGGGCUUGCGUCUGAUUAGCUAGUUGGAGGGGUAACGGCCCACCAAGGCGACGAUCAGUAGCCGGUCUGAGAGGAUGAACGGCCACAUUGGAACUGAGACACGGUCCAGACUCCUACGGGAGGCAGCAGUGGGGAAUCUUCCGCAAUGGGCGAAAGCCUGACGGAGCAACGCCGCGUGAGCGAAGACGGCCUUCGGGUUGUAAAGCUCUGUUAUACGGGACGAACGGCUAGUGUGCCAAUACCACAUUAGAAUGACGGUACCGUAAGAGAAAGCCACGGCUAACUACGUGCCAGCAGCCGCGGUAAUACGUAGGUGGCAAGCGUUGUCCGGAAUUAUUGGGCGUAAAGGGCGCGCAGGCGGUUUCAUAAGUCUGUCUUAAAAGUGCGGGGCUUAACCCCGUGAGGGGACGGAAACUGUGAGACUGGAGUGUCGGAGAGGAAAGCGGAAUUCCUAGUGUAGCGGUGAAAUGCGUAGAUAUUAGGAGGAACACCAGUGGCGAAAGCGGCUUUCUGGACGACAACUGACGCUGAGGCGCGAAAGCCAGGGGAGCGAACGGGAUUAGAUACCCCGGUAGUCCUGGCCGUAAACGAUGGAUACUAGGUGUAGGGGGUAUCGACCCCUCCUGUGCCGGAGUUAACGCAAUAAGUAUCCCGCCUGGGGAGUACGGCCGCAAGGCUGAAACUCAAAGGAAUUGACGGGGGCCCGCACAAGCGGUGGAGUAUGUGGUUUAAUUCGACGCAACGCGAAGAACCUUACCAAGCCUUGACAUUGAGUGCUNNNNNNNNNNNNNNNNNNNCGAAGGAGCGAUCCGGAGCAAACCCCAAAAACAGAGUCCCAGUUCGGAUUGCAGGCUGCAACCCGCCUGCAUGAAGCAGGAAUCGCUAGUAAUCGCAGGUCAGCAUACUGCGGUGAAUACGUUCCCGGGCCUUGUACACACCGCCCGUCACACCACGAAAGUCAUUCACACCCGAAGCCGGUGAGGUAACCUUACGGAGCCAGCCGUCGAAGGUGGGGGCGAUGAUUGGGGUGAAGUCGUAACAAGGUAGCCGGAUCGGAAGGUGCGGCUGGAUCACCU